GGUACAUCGGUGACAGGUGGUGCAUGGUUGUCGUCAGCUCGUGUCGUGAGAUGUUGGGUUAAGUCCCGCAACGAGCGCAACCCCUAUUGUUAGUUGCCAUCAUUCAGUUGGGCACUCUAGCGAGACUGCCGGUAAUAAACCGGAGGAAGGUGGGAUGACGUCAAAUCAUCAUGCCCCUUAUGACCUGGGCUACACACGUGCUACAAUGGUUGGUACAACGAGUUGCGAGUCGGUGACGGCGAGCUAAUCUCUUAAAGCCAAUCUCAGUUCGGAUUGUAGGCUGCAACUCGCCUACAUGAAGUCGGAAUCGCUAGUAAUCGCGGAUCAGCACGCCGCGGUGAAUACGUUCCCGGGUCUU
This 358-nucleotide ribosomal RNA is filed under the name uncultured Streptococcus sp. RNAcentral describes it as "bacterial SSU rRNA". It matches the Rfam family "Bacterial small subunit ribosomal RNA", at positions 1022 to 1382 of the family's 1533-position model. The record is from RNAcentral. Lineage: Bacteria; Bacillati; Bacillota; Bacilli; Lactobacillales; Streptococcaceae.